AUUGAUUUUAUGCUUGCAUAAAUGAUUUUUGGAUUCGGAGCGAGUGGCGAACUGGUGAGUAACACGUGGGUAACCUGCCCCGAAGCGGGGGAUAACAUUUGGAAACAAGUGCUAAUACCGCAUAAUUAGUUGGAACCGCAUGGUUCCAACUUGAAAGAUGGCUCUGCUAUCACUUUGGGAUGGACCCGCGCCGUAUUAGUUAGUUGGUGAGAUAAAAGCCCACCAAGACGAUGAUACGUAGCCGACCUGAGAGGGUAAUCGGCCACAUUGGGACUGAGACACGGCCCAGACUCCUACGGGAGGCAGCAGUAGGGAAUCUUCCACAAUGGACGAAAGUCUGAUGGAGCAACGCCGCGUGAGUGAUGAAGGUUUUCGGAUCGUAAAACUCUGUUGUUAAAGAAGAACAAGUGUUAGAGUAACUGUUAACACUUUGACGGUAUUUAACCAGAAAGCCACGGCUAACUACGUGCCAGCAGCCGCGGUAAUACGUAGGUGGCAAGCGUUGUCCGGAUUUAUUGGGCGUAAAGCGAGCGCAGGCGGUUUUGUAAGUCUGCUGUGAAAGCCCUCAGCUCAACUGAGGAAGUGCAGUGGAAACUACAAAACUUGAGUACAGAAGAGGAAAGUGGAACUCCAUGUGUAGCGGUGAAAUGCGUAGAUAUAUGGAAGAACACCAGUGGCGAAGGCGGCUUUCUGGUCUGUUACUGACGCUGAGGCUCGAAAGCAUGGGUAGCGAACAGGAUUAGAUACCCUGGUAGUCCAUGCCGUAAACGAUGAAUACUAGGUGUUGGAGGAUUUCCGCCCUUCAGUGCCGCAGCUAACGCAUUAAGUAUUCCGCCUGGGGAGUACGACCGCAAGGUUGAAACUCAAAGGAAUUGACGGGGGCCCGCACAAGUGGUGGAGCAUGUGGUUUAAUUCGAUGCUACGCGAAGAACCUUACCAGCUCUUGACAUCUUCUGCCAACCCAAGAGAUUGGGCGUUCCCUUCGGGGACAGAAUGACAGGUGGUGCAUGGUUGUCGUCAGCUCGUGUCGUGAGAUGUUGGGUUAAGUCCCGCAACGAGCGCAACCCUUAUUAUUAGUUGCCAGCAUUUAGUUGGGCACUCUAGUGAGACUGCCGGUGAUAAA
Molecule: ribosomal RNA, 1123 nt
Filed under: uncultured bacterium
Lineage: Bacteria
Description: bacterial SSU rRNA
Rfam family: Bacterial small subunit ribosomal RNA
Source: RNAcentral